CUUAAACUUUAUAGCUCAUCUUUUAAAAUUUGUAUUUAUUUACUUUUUUUUUUUUUGCCGGUACCGGGAAUCGAACUCAUGACCUUGCUCUUGCCAGGCAGGCGCUGUGCCCCUGAGCUAAACCCCCAGGCCCCCUACUUUUUUUUUGACAUGAAGUUUACAAAUCCUGAGAGCGGCCCCCCAUAGUGGGGAACGGUGCUCCUUCCCGGCCCUGCAGCAGGGGGCGCCGCUCAUCCCCCGGAGGCGACAAGAACGCGUUACAAGCUGGACUAGGGCACAUUUUAAAGCGGCGUCUCCAAGAUGGGUGAUCCAGGAUGCGCGGUUUCACCGUCUGCCGGUUACAGUGCAAGCUCUCCACAAGCGUUUAAAGUCAAGAUAUGCUGUCGUCGAGGCCGCUGCCUGCUGGGCUGGAGGAAAGGGUCGUUUCCCUUAAUCACACCUCAGAAUGGGGGACAGCUUUGCCUCGGAGUCCCGAGCGCGCGUGAAAGUGCAGGGGAGCUCGGCGCCUCCUCGGAUGUUAGGGCUGGGAGCAGAGGCCAGUGA
RNAcentral lists this long non-coding RNA (543 nucleotides) under Chinchilla lanigera (long-tailed chinchilla). RNAcentral describes it as "lncRNA (ENSCLAG00000025084.1)". The record is from RNAcentral. Lineage: Eukaryota; Metazoa; Chordata; Mammalia; Rodentia; Chinchillidae.